CAGUGCUGCAGCUCCUCGGGAACUCAUCUAGCAGGGUUUCUGGUUUUCACCACAGUGUUCCCAC
RNAcentral lists this small nuclear RNA (64 nucleotides) under Tupaia belangeri (northern tree shrew). Its description in RNAcentral is "U7 small nuclear RNA (ENSTBEG00000021247.1)". Lineage: Eukaryota; Metazoa; Chordata; Mammalia; Scandentia; Tupaiidae. The record is from RNAcentral.